UAUCUAUCUAUCUAUUACUGCAUAUAUUCCAUCUCCCCCAUAAAAGGGAGAGAAUAAUAAAAUCACAGUUAAUUAAUUUAUGUUGAGACUAUAAAAACAUUUAACCUUUUUUCUAAACAACUGUCUAAUAAAUAUCAUAGUACAUCUGGUUUAUAUAAAAAGAUCAAUAAUGGGUUCUUAUUUUGCAGGUCUGAGAGUUACAAUGUUUAUUGUUGUUUUCCUUGCAGUGAUGACUGUAAUUAUAGCGCUACACAGAUGAUGUGAAAAAUAAAUGUUAGUAUGAGGUUGAAGGUUGGGAAUGUAGGAGAUACAGUAUUUGUUAGUGAAAGAUACCAUACAAUAAAUCUUUAAAAUGAUUUUUCUAUAGAGAAACUGCAUUUUUUUAAUACGAAUAUGCUGCUUAUAAUUAAGGUUUUGCUUCCCUGAACGCACCAGCUCUUGUUUGAUGCUUCAAGCUCAGCAGAAAGGGAUUUGGUCAGAUGUCUUUAAUAGUUACAUCAGGUCAUUUUCCAGUCAUUCCACAUGUUAGAUUCCCAUCUGGGAAUGUGCAGAAACGAAAAUAAAUCCCAAGUGUGAAAGAUGAACAUUUACAGGCAGCAUUCAGGCCCAAACAACACUUCUGAUCCUUACAUGCAGUUCUCAAAUAAAACCAGCAGAUGUCUCCCUUCUAACUUCUAAUAGACAUCAAUGCUUCUAACAGAUCAGAGCACAGGUGGUUGUGUUUUUUUUUGCUUGUUAUGGAUAAUAAGAGUUAUUGAUAAAAUGAGACUUUAUAAAACUCUGUGGUCUUUCUGUUUAAAUUCAGGACUUCAACUCCCUCAAAUGCAGCGUUGUGAGUCUUUUGUUUGCUACAACUGAACCCAGGAAGUGUCCGGAAUAUCAUGUCAUCUGUUUUUACUUUAGGUUUCUAUUAAAUCAAUUUGUCUAGAAAAAAUACUUCACAAACUCUAUUAACCUAAGAUCAGACAGAAAUGAAGAAAUCUGGGCUGCAGUUUCUAUUUUUGUCACUAGAGGGCAGCAAAGCAUUGAAAUGAAUGAUGAAGGAUUCUGUCCAAACUCACACAGAUUCUCCAGAAUGAAAGCUGUCGGGCAGCAACAGCUGUGUGAUCACAGAAAAAUGUCCUCUGACACCAAAACCACAGAACCUUUCAUCAGAUCAUCUUUGGAUUGGAUCUGAAAUUCUAGUUUUCAUUUAGUAAAGUCUUCUUCUUUUCAGAGAACAAACUUGCCUGAUUGGUGGUUUGUUGGUGAGUGGGAGGAGCUUAAUCCAAGGCUGCUUUCGACUUUCUGCUUUUGUCUUCAUGUGUUCCACAUUUAACAGCAGUUGGUGACAUUUUCGAGCAGUUUCACCUCUUUUUCUGAGUUGACGUUUGUGGAGGUCAAAGGUCAGAUGGAGCAGUUUUCUGCUCUAGAAAUUAAGAAGAGGAACAUUUCAAUGCUGAAGAAGUCAACCAAACAAUGACAUUAAAUUAUUCCUGUUAACACUCCUUAUCAAUCACCUUUUCAUGAAUGCAUGGAGGAAAGAACCUGACCUGUAGACUGUCAAGUCCCAAAGAGGACUUCUUUGUUUCCUUUAGCUCAGCUGUCCCGUGCUAUAAGGAGUCGAAUUACAUUCGUCGAAUUACAAUUGUUGUUUACUCUCCAUAAAAACCGACAAAUGAAUCAAAAGGCAAAAGCAGAACUGUGAGGUUACAUGCUCUGCUCCACAUUUAGAAAAACCAAACAUGUUAUAAUAAAAUAUGGAUUAUUACAGACUAGUAGAGGAAGGGAAAUGGUGUGGGCUCUUUUUAAACCCAGACAAUCUUCACUGACUGAGUUAACAAAAACCGGGGAAAAAAUUUCAUUUAGUGAUUUUCAACUAUUUUUGUCCACUCUCACACACACUUUUGCAGGACCUGUGAACUAGGAACCGACGGUGACUGAGGCGAUUGAGCAGGUCGGCCAAUGAUUGAAGGGUCGGCAGUUCAAUUCCCAUCUGGUAAAUCUGUUUGUGGCCAGUUCCUCUGCACAGCAGGAAACCGAAAAAUAAGAGAAAAAGAUACUUUAGUCUCCAAUAAGUCUCAGCACUAAAGGACAUUUUUUUCAAACUGCUUUUCCGCUUUUAUCUUUGAACAAAUGUGUUUUGUAGUCAAUAGGUACGGUGGCCCUGAAGUGCACAUCCUACCGUAAUUAAAUGUGUUUAAGAUGAACCAGCUCACCUCUUAGAUCAUCAGUGAGAGCAGGUGCUUCCAGGCGUGGUCGGCGCCUGAAGGCAAAUGCUGAGCUGCAGCGAGACUGAAUGAGAACAGGAAGUUGGGGUUGUCCUUAACAUUAGAUGGAACUUUAAUAUCCCUAUCCCCUCUAUUAUCUAUGAUAUUGAAUCUUUUAUAUGAAUUUUAAUGUUUUGUAAUGUAUGUAGCCUUUUUUUAUCAAUAGGUAUUUUAUUUUCAUUGUCUAAUAAUUGCAUUUUCCUUGUAUGUUGUACUUAUACUGAUCUUUUCAAUUGUUUUUAUUUUUGUUCUUUUUUGCUUUUAAGGUAGACAAUUUUAACAUCUUUUGGGGACAAUAGAUAAAAAUGACCACCGGGCUAACUCUGGUUCAUUGCGGUGAUGCUUUUAUUCGCGCUAUCCCUGAGAAAUGAAUAAAAUUGAAAUUAAAUUGAAAUUUUAAAGGCAACAAUAAAACACAUGACCACAGAUGAUUUUUGAUGUCUGUACUUAUAAGUUCCUUUUGUUGCCUAAAUGCAAAUGUCUGUCUGAUGUUUAGCAUUAAAACCAAAAUGAUUAUCGAUAGAAAGCAUAAAAUAAUUCAAUGUUUUAAUUAAAAUACUUUCUAAUAAUAAAGUCAUCUAAGUGAUGUUGAUUUCAAUCCCAAUUUGUAUAAAUAAAAUAAUUUUUAUAAGAA
Long non-coding RNA from Oryzias latipes (Japanese medaka), 2883 nucleotides. RefSeq lists it as uncharacterized. The record is from RefSeq and is a predicted model, not a curated record. Lineage: Eukaryota; Metazoa; Chordata; Actinopteri; Beloniformes; Adrianichthyidae.